ACUUAAAUUGAAGAGUUUGAUCAUGGCUCAGAUUGAACGCUGGCGGCAGGCCUAACACAUGCAAGUCGAGCGGUAGCACAGAGAGCUUGCUCUCGGGUGACGAGCGGCGGACGGGUGAGUAAUGUCUGGGAAACUGCCUGAUGGAGGGGGAUAACUACUGGAAACGGUAGCUAAUACCGCAUAAUGUCGCAAGACCAAAGUGGGGGACCUUCGGGCCUCAUGCCAUCAGAUGUGCCCAGAUGGGAUUAGCUAGUAGGUGGGGUAACGGCUCACCUAGGCGACGA
This 284-nucleotide ribosomal RNA is filed under the name Klebsiella pneumoniae. Its description in RNAcentral is "partial 16S ribosomal RNA". It matches the Rfam family "Bacterial small subunit ribosomal RNA", at positions 1 to 279 of the family's 1533-position model. The record is from RNAcentral. Lineage: Bacteria; Pseudomonadati; Pseudomonadota; Gammaproteobacteria; Enterobacterales; Enterobacteriaceae.